This 25-nucleotide non-coding RNA is filed under the name Drosophila erecta. Lineage: Eukaryota; Metazoa; Arthropoda; Insecta; Diptera; Drosophilidae. RNAcentral also lists the same sequence under 1 other name. The record is from RNAcentral.
GGAGUUACAAAGUUGGAAGUCGCGC